GUUUUGUUUAUCUCCAUGGUGUUGAUUUUUUUAAAAUGUAAACAAAUUAAUUAAUCGAGAGUUUAUCUCUUUAAUUGAGAUUCUAUUUGUUUGUUUAAUUGUUGCCGACAUCAUUGUUCAUUUGUUUUCGUUUGGUUAUCAUCAAUUUGUGAAGAUGAACAACUUAUCUUAUGUUGUUUUAUUGAUCUCCAUUGCUUUGGUAAAUUGUCAUCAAUUUGAUUGGCAAUUUCAUGAUUAUUUUGAUGUUAUCAAUGAACAAAUUACUUGAGUAAAUAAAGAUGAUUGUAAAAUGAUGGACAUUAAAGACCUGAUCCUACGAAAUUCAACUGUUGUACCUUAUAUUAAAUGACUUGGGACUGAUCCAGUUUUCCUUAAUCAUACUAACCUCUUAAAAUUAUGGCCCCUGGACCCGAGUUUUAUUUUACAGUUUCAUCCUUGAUAAGGCCAAUGAUGUCGCUGAGACGGAGUUUUGUACUUCAUCAUCGAUAUUGUUUCACUUAAUUGCUUGAUAUUUGGUUUACAUCGCGCAGUGAAAAGUCACCGAUAAGCUUAUUGCUCGGAAUAAAGUGAUUAAUUCUACAAAUAAUUGUAAUCAAAUAAACGUUUUAUUGCGAGUUUUGUAAAUUCAUCAUUUGAGUGAAUGAUGGAAAAUGAUCAUUUUAAAGAUUGGUAACCAUAAUGAUCGCUAUUGCCAAAGCCGAUCCCCAAACCAUCUUUAUAAUUGUGGUCAUAAAGGUCGUCCUCACCGAAAGUAUUUCCAUCAAAAUGAGACCAACCUGCGUGAUGAUGUUCAUAAUGUUUCUCAACUUUAACCCUGUUGAUAAAUAAUCAAUUUGAGUAUUAAUUUCAAAGGACCAACAAUUAUCAAUACUUACGGAAUAUGAACUGGAACUUUAAUGGGCACAUGAACAGGAACGUGAACGGGAACAUGGAUCGGGAUAUGCUUUGUUACAGGAUAAGGGAUAUGCUUAACUGUAGCGAGGAAAACAAAUUACUAUGAUGAAAAAUGUUUGAUGUAAAUAUUACUCACCAACAGGGAUAUAAACAGGGUGUCGAAUUGGAACUGGAACUGGAACUGGGAAAGGAACAGGUUGAGGUGGAGAAGGUGGCCCACUUCCACCACCGGCAAUGAUAAUAUGUCCACCUUUAUGACCUGCCGAAACUGAGUGAAUACUAACAACAACUAAGCAGCAAAAAACGAAACAUUUAAUUUCAUCCAUUUGAAUAUCAACUCAAAAAAAAAAGAUUAUUGAAACAAUAAGUUUGAAAUGAUAAAGUUGAUGAUUGCACUUUCGAGUGGAUAUUGAUUCAAUUGACUGUAUGGCUCGUCUUAUAUAUAAGCCAUGAUGAUAUCCUGAUCAUUAAUUGUUCAUCGAUGUGAUGGUUAAGUGAUCUGAUCAACUUUUCAUGUUAAAUACAAUCUCUUUUUUUUGUAUUAAAAACUAUUCUGAGAAAA
Long non-coding RNA from Panonychus citri (citrus red mite), 1456 nucleotides. RefSeq lists it as uncharacterized. Lineage: Eukaryota; Metazoa; Arthropoda; Arachnida; Trombidiformes; Tetranychidae. The record is from RefSeq and is a predicted model, not a curated record. The transcript is spliced from 2 exons.